CACUCGCUUGAUGGCCGGGGGAUAAAUAGAAACGUCUGCCGGCAGGGAAGAUGAAAGGAAGAGCCGGAGCGAAGAGUUAGAGGAGUGGCGGGGCAGGGGGUGGGGUGGGGUGGGGUGGGAGAUGGAUCAGGUGUAAAGAAGCGACUGGGAAGGAUGAGAGAGAUUCGGUGGGAGGAUGAAUCAAAUGGGCUGUUCUCUGCCCUUGUCGUCUUCGUGGGCAAAUAUAACCAGGAUUGCUGUUCAGGAGGAGUCUCUGCACGCUUCUUUUCAUCUUAAGUGCUUUCUCAAGACCAUGGAACACGGAUUUGAUAGAUCUGAAUGUCUUCUAGCCAUUGGUGGUCGUGAUAAGAAGUGAAUGAAAUGAGAUGUAAGGCUCUGUGCUUUUGCUUUGUUCUCUGCUCAAGCUUUUAAGUUGUUUUUAGCAUUGUAAGGUUAAGGACAUGGGAUGCUUGUUCAUUAACACGAGAUACCGCAAAAAGGUUCUUUGUCGGUGGCUUCUAGAUCAGGACUGUUAAAGACGAGAAGACAGACUUCAGUCUUUUAGCAAAUGCUGAUUCCUGAAUCAGUUGCCCAGUGUGUUUUCGGCUUUAUUCUAGUGGAGGAAUCGCAGUGGUGUUGUAUAUGAAAGUAUCGGUGAAGGAAAGUAGCUCAAUCUCAGACACACCGGGCUGGUGACCCUACAUUAUUGUGAGAAAGGAUAUUAGCUCAUCCCUACCUGCGUUCAGUUCCUCCCUCUC
Molecule: long non-coding RNA, 737 nt
Filed under: Salvator merianae (Argentine black and white tegu)
Lineage: Eukaryota; Metazoa; Chordata; Lepidosauria; Squamata; Teiidae
Description: lncRNA (ENSSMRG00000002975.1)
Source: RNAcentral